This 292-nucleotide ribosomal RNA is filed under the name uncultured bacterium. RNAcentral's name for it is "partial 16S ribosomal RNA". It matches the Rfam family "Bacterial small subunit ribosomal RNA", at positions 30 to 337 of the family's 1533-position model. The record is from RNAcentral.
AUUGAACGCUGGCGGCAUGGUUAAGACAUGCAAGUCGAACGGCGAAAGGGAGCAAUCCCAAGUAGAGUGGCGAAAGGGCGAGGAAUACGUUUCUACGUACCCCGAGGUCGAGGACAGCCCAGGGAAACUUGGAGUAAUACUCGAUGUGGUCGCAAGAUCAAAGGUUUACUGCCGUCGGGGAGCGGGAACGUCCUAUCAGCUAGUUGGUGAGGUAAUGGCUCACCAAGGCGAAGACGGGUAGCGGGUGUGAGAGCAUGACCCGCCGCAUCGGGACUGAGACACUGCCCGGACU